This 492-nucleotide ribosomal RNA is filed under the name uncultured bacterium. Its description in RNAcentral is "partial 16S ribosomal RNA". It matches the Rfam family "Bacterial small subunit ribosomal RNA", at positions 29 to 507 of the family's 1533-position model. The record is from RNAcentral.
AGUGAACGCUGGCGGUAGGCCUAACACAUGCAAGUCGAACGGCAGCACAGUAAGAGCUUGCUCUUACGGGUGGCGAGUGGCGGACGAGUGAGGAAUACAUCGGAAUCUACUUUUUCGUGGGGGAUAACGUAGGGAAACUUACGCUAAUACCGCAUACGACCUACGGGUGAAAGCAGGGGAUCUUCGGACCUUGCGCGAUUGAAUGAGCCGAUGUCGGAUUAGCUAGUUGGCGGGGUAAAGGCCCACCAAGGCGACGAUCCGUAGCUGGUCUGAGAGGAUGAUCAGCCACACUGGAACUGAGACACGGUCCAGACUCCUGCGGGAGGCAGCAGUGGGGAAUAUUGGACAAUGGGCGCAAGCCUGAUCCAGCCAUACCGAGUGGGUGAAGAAGGCCUUCGGGUUGUAAAGCCCUUUUGUUGGGAAAGAAAAGCAGCAGGUUAAUACCCCGCUGUUCUGACGGUACCCAAAGAAUAAGCACCGGCUAACUUCGUG